GAUGAACGCUGGCGGCGUGCCUAAUACAUGCAAGUCGAGCGAACAGACGAGAGUGCUUGCACUCUCUGACGUUAGCGGCGGACGGGUGAGUAACACGUGGGUAACCUACCUAUAAGACUGGGAUAACUUCGGGAAACCGGAGCUAAUACCGGAUAAUAUUUAGCUUCGCAUGAAGCAAUAGUGAAAGACGGUUCUGCUGUCACUUAUAGAUGGACCCGCGGUGUAUUAGCUAGUUGGUGGGGUAACGGCUCACCAAGGCAACGAUACAUAGCCGACCUGAGAGGGUGAUCGGCCACACUGGGACUGAGACACGGCCCAGACUCCUACGGGAGGCAGCAGUAGGGAAUCUGCCGCAAUGGACGAAAGUCUGACGGAGCAAUGCCGCGUGAGUGAAGAAGGUGUUCGGAUCGUAAAACUCUGUUGUAAGGGAAGAACAAGUACGUUAGUAACUGAACGUACCUUGACGGUACCUUACCAGAAAGCCACGGCUAACUACGUG
RNAcentral lists this ribosomal RNA (499 nucleotides) under uncultured bacterium. RNAcentral's name for it is "partial 16S ribosomal RNA". It matches the Rfam family "Bacterial small subunit ribosomal RNA", at positions 28 to 507 of the family's 1533-position model. The record is from RNAcentral.